Molecule: non-coding RNA, 838 nt
Filed under: Pan troglodytes (chimpanzee)
Lineage: Eukaryota; Metazoa; Chordata; Mammalia; Primates; Hominidae
Source: RNAcentral
GAUGCUUCACUAUUAAAAUAUUUCCCCCCCAAGUCUCAAAUAUUGAAGAAUCUCUAACCAGGCUCGAAACGCCGGUCUCAGUGGCUAUUGAGUUACCCACCAAGUUACCCCGGUUAGAGCUGUUUGGGGUGGCUCACGUUAUUGCGGCAAACUUUGGAGAUGACGGCUGAGUCCUCCGGGCGAACAUGUCAAGCCGAUUGUAAAUGCUGUUAUUUCCACAUCCUUCAGGGACACCAGUCCCUACGAAGACCUUGGGCGAUUUUGAAGUGCGGGCACCUCGAUUCCCCGAAUCUGUAGUGUGGCUGGUAUCGGUGUUCCCCUGGUUUAACUAGCCUGUUUGGCACAACAAAUGAGACCCAAGUGCUCAUAGAACAUUCCAAAGAGUCAACAGAGAGAAGUGGAAAGUAUUAGAAACAUGAUUGUGUUUGCAAAGGGAGACAUAAACAUGGGGAAAUUGAGGCAGAGAAGCCAAGACAUGCGCUAAAGGUCCAUGCAGGCUAUGAAUGGAGCUGGAAUGUAAACGCAGGCCAUGUGACUCCAGAGCCCAUGUUCUUGAACCCUUAGAAAGACAGCAGCAACACACCUGGUGCAGCAGCUGCUUAGUUGGAGUGGCUGACAAGGUUGGCAGAGGAUCCCGUUCCUCCCGUGGAGUGGCUGCCAUGAUACUGCCUGCACUGAAGCUGCUCCUAUUUCUGAAAUAUGUAUUGUUAUUUUUUUCCCUCCAUGUUGAACAUUAUACUCUUCUGUUCUUUCGCAUUCUCUUCUUCCCUUCCAGAUGACUUCUAGGGUUUUUGUGAUUCUGUAAUUCUAAAGGAGAAAGGAUAAUAAGAAUUGUGAG